AUCUGUUAUCAAUGAAGAUGAAGAGACUUCUAAUAAUAUUCAUAGGUUAUGUUUCCAUAAUACUGUCGACUGUCUUCAAAAUACAACUAAAGUUCUCAUGGAAGUUAAUAAUAAACAAAUAAAUAAUGAUUUACAAACUCAUUCUUAUGAUUCUGAUUCACCCAGAGUUAUGGAAGAUAACUGUAACCUCUACAAUGAAGUUUUGAUUAGUGAAGACAAAAAUGAAGUUAACACUCAUGAUCUAGGACCCUAUCGAGUGACAGACAUCCUGGGCAAGGGAUGCUAUGCUCUGCAGGAGGUCGCUACCGGCAAGAUGCUGCGAACCAAUCAGGCGAUGAUGAAGAGGUUUCGUCACCGGGAGAUCCUACCAGAGGACCCUAGCAAAGAACCUGACAACCUUGACAGCAAUGUGAACCUCACCGUGAGAUAAACUAUGUGAAUCUCAUGAGAUAAACUAUCUCAUCAAAUAUUAAGGGUAUGUUUGCUACUUCUAAUUAAUUAAAUUGAUGAUAAUUCUAUUUUCAGGUGUUUAUCAAUAUUUUGUGUCUUCAAGAUUGGAAUGAGAGUCUAAAUACCGGCUAGACUUGAAACUACAUAUUUAUAUGCUGAUACCAUAUAAAUUUGUGAUUCUAUAAUUAUAUUAUUGCUUCUUAAUUUGGAAAUAUUUGUGUUUAAUGAAUAAUAAUUUUUAAUACUUGCAGCUAAUUGAUUACUUUAUAAGCACUUUCAAAUUGUUUGUUUCCCAUUCAAGUUUAGGAUGGAAUUAGUUAUUGUGUCCAGUUGGAGUUUAACCGCAUAUAUUAUGUUUUAUGUUUAAAUUUUGAUAACCAUAUUUUAUGCAUAUGAUUGGAUUGAAGAAACAAUUAGUGUAGGUGCCCACCCUUUUUUCUAAUUCUAGAAUAGGUAUCUUAGGGACAACUGUUUUAUAGGUUUACUAAAACAAACAUCAUCAAUAUCGAAUUACAUUAAUGAUAGGUAAUUUGUUGCUUCAUGUGAUAAACAAUAAUGAAUAACACUGAUAAUUCUACACUCAAGAUUAAUAAUCAACAUUAUAAAAUAUUAAAAGAUAAGCAUAGCUCAGCUCAUAAAUUGUGUUUGUUGAUAACGAAAUAACUGAUAAUUUGAUAAAGUACUUGGUAGGAUAAAUAUUAAUAUGAAUUAUAAUUGUUUAAUAAUUGAUGUAUAGAUUUUUUUUGUGAAUUACCUGAUUAUGUACUAUGUAUUAAUGAUAAUAUUCUCUUUCACUGCAAGCGCGGCACAGCACGACGUGGUUCCGAUCCCGAAAAGUUCAGAGACUAUUCGAGAUUUGCGCCGCGCUGCGGUCCAAUGCAUGGAGGUCACAAAGUAGGAGGAAUUCUUUCUUCUAUGUGAUGGAGGUACACUUGAUCACUUGAUACGCCGCACUGCGUUGCGCCGCUCCACCUUCGUAGUGCACACUCUACAUAAAGAUAUGUUGCUAACUGGUGUAGGCUACUGAUAUGUAUUGCUGACUGGUUUAGGUUGUGAAUUAAUUAGUGAUUUAAGUGUGAUGUGAAUAAAAUGAAAAGUUUAAUUUUUAAGUUUUAUGAUCAAGUAUAAUGUAGGCCUAAUAUUAUUUAUGAUAAAAACUAUGAAAUGAAUGAAUGAAUGAAUUCUAUUUGCCAAAAACAAAAUAUGCAAAAAAGCUUCACAAAAAAUAAAUAUAAGUACCGUUAUAUGCUACUUCACUUAAACUAAGAUACAUACAUGAAAAUUAACUCUUAAUUUUAAACACUACAUACUCUUUAGAGUAUGUAGUGUUUGAACAUGUAAUUUAUAACAUGAAAUUGAUUAUUAUAUAAAAGUCAACGAUUGGAAAUAACUUAAGUUCAGCCAUGCCUCUAUGGC
RNAcentral lists this unclassified non-coding RNA (1866 nucleotides) under Nilaparvata lugens (brown planthopper). RNAcentral's name for it is "uncharacterized LOC111058631, transcript variant X3". Lineage: Eukaryota; Metazoa; Arthropoda; Insecta; Hemiptera; Delphacidae. The record is from RNAcentral.